GACGAACGCUGGCGGCGUGCCUAAUACAUGCAAGUAGAACGCUGAAGAGAGGAGCUUGCUCUUCUUGGAUGAGUUGCGAACGGGUGAGUAACGCGUAGGUAACCUGCCUUGUAGCGGGGGAUAACUAUUGGAAACGAUAGCUAAUACCGCAUAACAAUGGAUGACACAUGUCACUUAUUUUAAAGGGGCAAUUGCUCCACUACAAGAUGGACCUGCGUUGUAUUAGCUAGUAGGUGAGGUAAUGGCUCACCUAGGCGACGAUACAUAGCCGACCUGAGAGGGUGAUCGGCCACACUGGGACUGAGACACGGCCCAGACUCCUACGGGAGGCAGCAGUAGGGAAUCUUCGGCAAUGGGGGCAACCCUGACCGAGCGACGCCGCGUGAGUGAAGAAGGUUUUCGGAUCGUAAAGCUCUGUUGUAAGUCAAGAACGGGUGUGAGAGUGGAAAGUUCACACUGUGACGGUAGCUUACCAGAAAGGGACGGCUAACUACGUG
Molecule: ribosomal RNA, 497 nt
Filed under: uncultured bacterium
Lineage: Bacteria
Description: partial 16S ribosomal RNA
Rfam family: Bacterial small subunit ribosomal RNA
Source: RNAcentral